UUGAUCCUGGCUCAGAACGAACGCUGGCGGCGUGGUUGACACAUGCAAGUCGAGCGGGAACGUCCCUUCGGGGAACCAGUACAGCGGCAGACGGGUGAGUAACGCGUGAUCAAUCUGCCCUUGGGAGAGGAAUAGCCAUUCGAAAGAGUGAGUAAUACCUCAUAAGACUACAGCAUCGCAUGGUGCAGUGGUAAAAAGGUUGGGAUCUUCGGACCUUCCGCCCAAGGAUGAGAUCGCGUCCUAUUAGCUUGUUGGUGAGGUAACGGCUCACCAAGGCAGCGAUGGGUAGCCGGCCUUAGCGGGUGGACGGCCACACUGGAACUGGGACACGGUCCAGACUCCUACGGGAGGCUGCAGUGCUGAAUUAUUCGCCAAUGCGCGAAAGCGUGACGGUGCGACGCCGCGUGCGGGACGAAGGCCCUAGGGUCGUAAACCGCUGUCAGGGCUUCGGAAACCGUAGAGGUUAAUAGCCUCUGCGCUGACCAGGCCCAAAGGAAGCACAGGCUAAUCUCGUGCCAGCAGCCGCGGUACUACGAGAUGUGCGAGCGUUGUUCGGAAUUACUGGGCAUACCGGGUGCGCAGGCGGCCAUGUAAGUCAGGUGUGAAAUCCCUCGGCUCACCCGCGGAAUUGCAUCUGA
Molecule: ribosomal RNA, 638 nt
Filed under: uncultured organism
Description: bacterial SSU rRNA
Rfam family: Bacterial small subunit ribosomal RNA
Source: RNAcentral